This 635-nucleotide unclassified non-coding RNA is filed under the name Hevea brasiliensis (rubber tree). The record is from RNAcentral. Lineage: Eukaryota; Viridiplantae; Streptophyta; Magnoliopsida; Malpighiales; Euphorbiaceae.
GAAAGAGGAUAUGCUGCUGACAAUGAUGCCCACAAAGGAACGACAGGUACACUAGCCAGAGCAGGAUUUUCAGGGUGUGAAUUUUCAGGGUCAAUACUCACGCCGUGGAGACUAAGGGUCUGUUUGGAUGAGGGUGAAGGAGGGAUAAAUAAAAGUAUAAAGGGUUGAGCUAAUGAAGGGUAAGAGUAAGUAAAAGUAAACCUUACCUCCCUUGCCCCAUCCCAAUUUUUCUUACAAGAGGGAGAGGUAAGAGCUAUAAAUUAUUUAUUUCUUAUGCUCCUAAAAUUUACCCUUUCACCUCUUCCCAAAUAUAGAAAAUAUACAUUAACUUUCUUUACCUUUUCAUUAAUUUAUCCCUUUCCAAACAUGAAUUUUUUUAUUAUAAUUCUCCUUAUCCUUCCUUCUACUGGCGCAUUCUUAGUCUUCCAUUAAUUAGGCUUUUCUGACCCCAUCCAAAAGAGCCGAAAUUGCAUGUCACCAUCUCUCCACUCAAACACCAUCACAAAGACUAGGAAGAGGAAGAGAAUGCACCAGCUGCCAAUGAUGAGGACACCGAAGCUCAAAGAGGUCACCCUCACCCCCAGUGAGGAAUCUGACGUGGCUGCCCCAUCUUUUUAUGGGUUUUUUUUUUUUUU